UUGCAAAUAUCAAUGACUCAUAAAAAACCGAAAAAAAGUUUGAAAUCCCGCGCGCGCCUUCGUACCCUCUCUCCUAAUACGAAAAUAGGACUUUUUCUCUCAUAUUCUCUCUUUCUCUCGCCGUCUUGGGUCUCAUUUGCCCUAAUCGGAAAAAUUCGAAGGUAGGCUUCUCUUCCUCCCUAUUCGAACGAAGACACGCAGCAGCGGAUUAGAGCGGCAGAAAUAACCCCAUCCGUCUUCUCCUCUUCUCUCCGAUCUCCCUCUCUCUUCCUCUUCCUUCUUUCUUCUUCCCCCAUUCCCUCUCUUUUUGUCACACUCAACGCCGUUCCUGACCGCGCCUAGGAGUCUCUCCCUCCGCUGCAACCAGCGGCGAGUCUAAACCCAAUUGGCGACAACUGAAUCCCGCCUUUUUUCCUCUUUCCCUCCCACCCACUAAAUCAACCUAUCUUCCUCUUUCACUCUUUCUUUCUAUUGCCUUUCGUUUUGGAACUCUUUCCUCUCUAUUAAUCAACCCUGCAGGCCUACCAGUUAAAGUUCUACAUUGCCCUGUUCCACUCUAAACACUCAUUCUCUUCCUGCGAUGUCUCUCUCACAGUCGACGUCGACCUCUCACCACCGGACGACAUCAACGAACACCGGCAUCAAAUAGGCACCCCAUUUGAUUCUUCAAAAUGGGGUCGAGUAUGUGGAUUUCUCAUAACAGAGGGUGUUUGGACAAAAAUCGAAAGGUUGAGUGUGUAGAAGCUUCAAAAGACGAUCUACUAGUGGUAGAAAUUGCAUUUUCUAGGUUCUCUACUGUUUGCAUCCUUUCCAUUUUUGUUCUCCCAGAAUAUUAAAAGAUCCUUGCUUUAUUGGUGUUUUUUCUUGGCAACUGCUUUUACUUGAAGAUAUGUCUAAUUUCUGAGAAUAUCAUGUAUAUAGGUUCUAUUCAUGUAAUUAACUCCACCACUAUGAAAUUUUUAAAUCUCUCAUCAAAUAUACUCUCAAGCUCAUUGCCUUCUACUCUUGYAAAUGCKUGAUGGUGGACUUGAGCAAAAACAAUUUUUCUGGUGAUAUUUUUGUCAUGCAAGGUUGGGGAGACAUUGUGGAGGUUAUCAAUUUGAGUUCAAAUGCAUUAUCUGGAAGCUUUCCAAAUCUGACAAAUCAAUUUCAGAGAUUGAUUUCUAUUAUGAUUUCAAAUAAUUCUAUAUCGAAAUAAGUUUAGAGGAACAAUCACUUUUCAAGGCUCACGGACAUCCAAGUUAUUGGUUCAACCUUCUUAUUCAUAGAUGGAAUCAUUUGAUCUCUCUUGUAACUUAUUGAUAGGUUCAUUGCCUUCUGAAAUAGGUAACAUGGAGAGGCUUACGUUGCUAAAUCUGUCAAGGAACACUUUAUUAGUAGAGAUACCAAGUGCGAUGAACAAGCUUAGUGGCUUAGAGUACCUUGACUUGUCCGAGAACAAUUUUAAGGGUAAGAUCCCUGGUGGGCCCAGGGAACAAGAGAGGCUGGUUCUUGCAUAUUGCAUCCAUGGAGAUGGCUUGGCUCUACAUUGUGAACUAUUUUUGCUUGGAGUUUGCAAUUAUAUUGCUAUAUAUUUGGUAUCCUUCAUACAUAUCUAUUUAUUAGUAGUUGCUCCUUUUCUUGAACCAUGUGUAUUAAGGAUUAACUUUUCUAUUUUCUUUAUGGAUAAUAACUGAAUACAUGAGUUAAUAAGGCAAAAGCCCAAAAAGAACACAAAUUUUGCUUAUACCAAGCUGGGGUAAAAUGAAAUUCCAGAAAAAUCUUGUU
Molecule: non-coding RNA, 1767 nt
Organism: Nelumbo nucifera (sacred lotus)
Lineage: Eukaryota; Viridiplantae; Streptophyta; Magnoliopsida; Proteales; Nelumbonaceae
Source: RefSeq, a predicted model, not a curated record